GGGUCACUGCCAUCGGGGUUCGAUUAAGCCAUGCGAGUCGAGAGGGUUCGGCCCUCGGCGUACUGCUCAGUAACACGUGGAUAACCUGCCCUAGGGAAGGGGAUAACCCCGGGAAACUGGGGAUAAUACCCUAUAGAUUACAGAUGCUGGAAUGCCCUGUAAUCCAAAGUUCCGACGCCCUAGGAUGAUCUGCGGCCGAUUAGGUUGUUGUUGGGGUAAUGGCCCAACAAGCCCGUAAUCGGUACGGGUUGUGGGAGCAAGAGCCCGGAGUUGGAUUCUGAGACACGAAUCCAGGCCCUACGGGGCGCAGCAGGCGCGAAAACUUUACAAUGCGGGCAACCGUGAUAAGGGAACCUCGAGUGCCUGUAAAUGCAGGCUGUUCAGGUGCCUAAAACACACCUGAAGAAAGGGCCGGGCAAGACCGGUGCCAGCCGCCGCGGUAAUACCGGCGGCUCGAGUGGUGGCCGCUUUUAUUGGGCUUAAAGCGUUCGUAGCUGGGUUGUUAAGUCUCUUGGGAAAUCUGGCGGCUUAACCGUCAGGCGUCUAAGGGAUACUGGCAAUCUUGGAACCGGGAGAGGUGAGGGGUACUUCGGGGGUAGGAGUGAAAUCCUGUAAUCCUCGAGGGACCACCUGUGGCGAAGGCACCUCACCAGAACGGCUUCGACAGUGAGGGACGAAAGCUGG
Molecule: ribosomal RNA, 684 nt
Filed under: uncultured archaeon
Lineage: Archaea
Description: bacterial SSU rRNA
Rfam family: Archaeal small subunit ribosomal RNA
Source: RNAcentral